RNAcentral lists this ribosomal RNA (252 nucleotides) under uncultured bacterium. RNAcentral's name for it is "partial 16S ribosomal RNA". It matches the Rfam family "Archaeal small subunit ribosomal RNA", at positions 474 to 727 of the family's 1478-position model. The record is from RNAcentral.
UACCAGCACCCCGAGUGGUCGGGACGAUUAUUGGGCCUAAAGCAUCCGUAGCCGGUUCUGCAAGUCCUCCGUUAAAUCCAGCUGCUCAACAGAUGGGCCGCGGAGGAUACUACAGAGCUAGGAGGCAGGAGAGGCAAGCGGUACUCAGUGGGUAGGGGUAAAAUCCGUUGAUCCAUUGAAGACCACAGUGGCGAAGGCGGCUUGCCAGAAUGCGCUCGACGGUGAGGGAUGAAAGCUGGGGGAGCAAACCGG